RNAcentral lists this long non-coding RNA (1217 nucleotides) under Rattus norvegicus (Norway rat). RNAcentral's name for it is "long non-coding RNA NONRATT026957". The record is from RNAcentral. Lineage: Eukaryota; Metazoa; Chordata; Mammalia; Rodentia; Muridae.
UUGUUUCAAAAACAGCAGAAAGCAAAUAGCACGUUUUAGCGUAUUCAUCUUUCCCUUGGGUACUUACACAAUUCCCUUAUAAGAACAGAAAUGGGCUGGAGAGAUGGCGCAGUAGAUAAAGUGCCUGCUGUGCAGGUGAGGACCUGAGUUCAGAUUCCAGCAUCCUUGUAAAAGCCAGGCACGAACUUAAAUGCAAGGGGAGUUUGUUAGCCAGCCAGCCUGAAGGGUGAAGUGGUAACCAGGCUCAUCAAGAGAUACUGUCUCACAAAAUAAAAAUGGACAGAGAUCUAGGGAUACACCCAACACCUGCCCCAACCUCCAAAUGCAUAUGCAUGUGCACAGAAAUCCCCAGGCAUACUAGCAUGGGUCCAUGUACACACACACACACACACACACACACACACACACACACACACACACACACACACACACACACAAGAACAGAUAAGUGUUCAUGUUCACCCAGCUCCUGCUGGUACCCAAGCAGGUCUUUCUUCUCCCCUGAAUUGGAAAGGUACAUUUAAACCAUCCAUCCUCUUUGCUGCCCCUCUCUGGUACGUAAGGAGCAUUCUGUUCAAUCUUGUUUGCACUAAGCAGAAUUUAUCCUGUAAGGCAAGGGAUGGUGAUAGCCAUGAUUUUUGUUGGCUGGGCCUUCUUCAAAGUGUCCUUGAAUCCAUCAAGCAAACCUUCUUGAGAAAGCUCUCUGAACUUAGUCUCUCUCCAUUUGGCUGAAAAAUAAUGGAUGGCCACAUCCAAACUCCAAAUUUCUGGAUGUGUCAUUUGCUUCAGCAUUACAGAGUCUGACUCUGUCUUUUAGUAUAGACGAUGUUUAUUAGCUAUGCACAAGGCUGUUUAACACAUGGCUCCAAGCCCUGCUUCAGACUUGGGAGCUUUCGGAACCUUCCUUACACUACCAAAUGCCAAUCACAUUGGCUAAAGAGAGUAUAUUAUAGUCUGUGUCUAAGCUUAGGAGCUUUAAGUGUAUGUUUUAAAGAAAUCUAUUGGAGUGGGUUGAACAUUUUAACUAAAUGCAAAAGGUUGGACAGAUUACAUGCAAAGAUGAUUGUUUAAUAAAGAGUAAUCUGAAUCCUGUAUAACUUAUUUGCACACCUUUCUUGCAUGAGGAACUGACAUUUUUAUAGUUGUUUGUAUAAGACGGUGGCAUAUUUUUGUAAACAUUUUUGACACUGAAUUGCAAUAAAUGUUUUUCCUACAAC